This 240-nucleotide unclassified non-coding RNA is filed under the name soil metagenome. RNAcentral's name for it is "partial contains 5.8S ribosomal RNA, internal transcribed spacer 2, and large subunit ribosomal RNA". The record is from RNAcentral.
AACAUCGCGCACCUGCGGGAACCUGCGGAGGGAUCAUUACUGAGUGCGGGUUCCAAUGAGCCCAACCUCCCACCCGUGUUUACCGUAACCGCGUUGCCUCGGCGGGCCCACUGGGGCCUGUCCCCGGUCGCCGGGGGGCAUCUGCCCCCGGGCCCGCGCCCGCCGAAGCGCCCUAGAACCCUGCCUGAACAGUGAGUCUGAGUGAGUGAUUGAAUCAUUAAAACUUUCAACAACGGAUCU